GGAACACAGGUGCUGCAUGGCUGUCGUCAGCUCGUGUCGUGAGAUGUUGGGUUAAGUCCCGCAACGAGCGCAACCCUUGUCAUUAGUUGCUACGAAAGGGCACUCUAAUGAGACUGCCGGUGACAAACCGGAGGAAGGUGGGGAUGACGUCAAGUCCUCAUGGCCCUUAUGGGUAGGGCUUCACACGUCAUACAAUGGUCGGGACAGAGGGUCGCCAACCCGCGAGGGGGGAGCCAAUCCCAGAAACCCGAUCGUAGUCCGGAUUGUAGUCUGCAACUCGACUACAUGAAGUCGGAAUCGCUAGUAAUCGCGGAUCAGCAUGUCGCGGUGAAUACGUUCCCGGGUCUU
RNAcentral lists this ribosomal RNA (348 nucleotides) under uncultured Achromobacter sp. RNAcentral describes it as "bacterial SSU rRNA". It matches the Rfam family "Bacterial small subunit ribosomal RNA", at positions 1029 to 1382 of the family's 1533-position model. Lineage: Bacteria; Pseudomonadati; Pseudomonadota; Betaproteobacteria; Burkholderiales; Alcaligenaceae. The record is from RNAcentral.